AACCUUAUGGACCUGCGGGCGUAUACCUGCGGAAGGAUCAUUACCGAGUUUACAAACUCCCAACCCUUUGUGAACCUUACCAUAUUGUUGCUUCGGCGGGACCGCCCCGGCGCCUUCGGGCCCGGAACCAGGCGCCCGCCGGAGGCCCCAAACUCUUAUGUCUUUAGUGGUUUUCUCCUCUGAGUGACACAUAAACAAAUAAAUAAAAACUUUCAACAAUGGAUCUCAGAUCGGAAGAGC
RNAcentral lists this unclassified non-coding RNA (240 nucleotides) under soil metagenome. Its description in RNAcentral is "partial contains 5.8S ribosomal RNA, internal transcribed spacer 2, and large subunit ribosomal RNA". The record is from RNAcentral.